This 435-nucleotide ribosomal RNA is filed under the name uncultured bacterium. RNAcentral's name for it is "partial 16S ribosomal RNA". It matches the Rfam family "Bacterial small subunit ribosomal RNA", at positions 29 to 507 of the family's 1533-position model. The record is from RNAcentral.
AGUGAACGCUGGCGGCAGGCCUAACACAUGCAAGUCGAGCGGGCAUCCUCGAAUGUCCGCGGCAGACGGGUGGCUAACACCGGGGAAGGUACCCUUCGGUUCGGAACCACUCUGGCAAAGUGGAGCUCAUACCGGAUACGCCCUUACGGGGAAAGGCUUACUGCCGUAGGAUUCGCCAGCGUGUGAUUAGCUAGUUGGUGUGGUAACGGCCUACCACGGUGACGAUCAGUAGCUGGUCUGAGAGGCCGAUCAGCCACACUGGGGCUGAGACACGGCCCAGACUCCUACGGGAGGCAGCAGUGGGGAAUAUUGGACAAUGGGCGCAAGCCUGAUCCAGCCAUGCCGGGUGAGUGAUGAAGGCCUUAGAGUUGUAAAGCUCUUUUGUCCGGGACGAUAAUGACGGUACCGGAAGAAUAAGCCCCGGCUAACUUCGUG